GAGUUUGAUCAUGGCUCAGGAUGAACGCUGGCGGCGUGCUUAACACAUGCAAGUCGAACGAGGCACUCAGGAGCGAUUUCGGUCAAUCCUGUUUGACUGAGUGGCGGACGGGUGAGUAACGCGUGAGUAACCUACCUCGCAGUGGGGAAUAACAGUUGGAAACGACUGCUAAUACCGCAUAAUGCAGAGAGACCGCAUGAUCUUUCUGCCAAAGAUUUAUCGCUGUGAGAUGGACUCGCGUCUGAUUAGCUAGUUGGUGAGGUAACGGCUCACCAAGGCGACGAUCAGUAGCCGGACUGAGAGGUUGACCGGCCACAUUGGGACUGAGACACGGCCCAGACUCCUACGGGAGGCAGCAGUGGGAAUAUUGGGCAAUGGGCGCAAGCCUGACCCAG
Molecule: ribosomal RNA, 395 nt
Filed under: bacterium enrichment culture clone ALO1_GLFRUDD03G9WWS
Lineage: Bacteria
Description: bacterial SSU rRNA
Rfam family: Bacterial small subunit ribosomal RNA
Source: RNAcentral